GCGUCUGGAAAGGCGUGCGAUACAGGGUGACAGCCCCGUACACAAAAAUGCACAUACUGUGAGCUCGAUGAGUAGGGCGGGACACGUGGUAUCCUGUCUGAAUAUGGGGGGACCAUCCUCCAAGGCUAAAUACUCCUGACUGACCGAUAGUGAACCAGUACCGUGAGGGAAAGGCGAAAAGAACCCCGGCGAGGGGAGUGAAAAAGAACCUGAAACCGUGUACGUACAAGCAGUGGGAGCCUCUUAAUGGGGUGACUGCGUACCUUUUGUAUAAUGGGUCAGCGACUUAUAUUCUGUAGCAAGGUUAACCGAAUAGGGGAGCCGAAGGGAAACCGAGUCUUAACUGGGCGUUAAGUUGCAGGGUAUAGACCCGAAACCCGGUGAUCUAGCCAUGGGCAGGUUGAAGGUUGGGUAACACUAACUGGAGGACCGAACCGACUAAUGUUGAAAAAUUAGCGGAUGACUUGUGGCUGGGGGUGAAAGGCCAAUCAAACCGGGAGAUAGCUGGUUCUCCCCGAAAGCUAUUUAGGUAGCGCCUCGUGAAUUCAUCUCCGGGGGUAGAGCACUGUUUCGGCAAGGGGGUCAUCCCGACUUACCAACCCGAUGCAAACUGCGAAUACCGGAGAAUGUUAUCACGGGAGACACACGGCGGGUGCUAACGUCCGUCGUGAAGAGGGAAACAACCCAGACCGCCAGCUAAGGUCCCAAAGUCAUGGUUAAGUGGGAAACGAUGUGGGAAGGCCCAGACAGCCAGGAUGUUGGCUUAGAAGCAGCCAUCAUUUAAAGAAAGCGUAAUAGCUCACUGGUCGAGUCGGCCUGCGCGGAAGAUGUAACGGGGCUAAACCAUGCACCGAAGCUGCGGCAGCGACACUAUGUGUUGUUGGGUAGGGGAGCGUUCUGUAAGCCUGUGAAGGUGUACUGUGAGGUAUGCUGGAGGUAUCAGAAGUGCGAAUGCUGACAUAAGUAACGAUAAAGCGGGUGAAAAGCCCGCUCGCCGGAAGACCAAGGGUUCCUGUCCAACGUUAAUCGGGGCAGGGUGAGUCGACCCCUAAGGCGAGGCCGAAAGGCGUAGUCGAUGGGAAACAGGUUAAUAUUCCUGUACUUGGUGUUACUGCGAAGGGGGGACGGAGAAGGCUAUGUUGGCCGGGCGACGGUUGUCCCGGUUUAAGCGUGUAGGCUGGUUUUCCAGGCAAAUCCGGAAAAUCAAGGCUGAGGCGUGAUGACGAGGCACUACGGUGCUGAAGCAACAAAUGCCCUGCUUCCAGGAAAAGCCUCUAAGCAUCAGGUAACAUCAAAUCGUACCCCAAACCGACACAGGUGGUCAGGUAGAGAAUACCAAGGCGCUUGAGAGAACUCGGGUGAAGGAACUAGGCAAAAUGGUGCCGUAACUUCGGGAGAAGGCACGCUGAUAUGUAGGUGAAGUCCCUCGCGGAUGGAGCUGAAAUCAGUCGAAGAUACCAGCUGGCUGCAACUGUUUAUUAAAAACACAGCACUGUGCAAACACGAAAGUGGACGUAUACGGUGUGACGCCUGCCCGGUGCCGGAAGGUUAAUUGAUGGGGUUAGCGGUAACGCGAAGCUCUUGAUCGAAGCCCCGGUAAACGGCGGCCGUAACUAUAACGGUCCUAAGGUAGCGAAAUUCCUUGUCGGGUAAGUUCCGACCUGCACGAAUGGCGUAAUGAUGGCCAGGCUGUCUCCACCCGAGACUCAGUGAAAUUGAACUCGCUGUGAAGAUGCAGUGUACCCGCGGCAAGACGGAAAGACCCCGUGAACCUUUACUAUAGCUUGACACUGAACAUUGAGCCUUGAUGUGUAGGAUAGGUGGGAGGCUUUGAAGUGUGGACGCCAGUCUGCAUGGAGCCGGCCUUGAAAUACCACCCUUUAAUGUUUGAUGUUCUAACGUUGGCCCCUGACCGGGGUUGCGGACAGUGUCUGGUGGGUAGUUUGACUGGGGCGGUCUCCUCCUAAAGAGUAACGGAGGAGCACGAAGGUUGGCUAAUCCUGGUCGGACAUCAGGAGGUUAGUGCAAUGGCAUAAGCCAGCUUGACUGCGAGCGUGACGGCGCGAGCAGGUGCGAAAGCAGGUCAUAGUGAUCCGGUGGUUCUGAAUGGAAGGGCCAUCGCUCAACGGAUAAAAGGUACUCCGGGGAUAACAGGCUGAUACCGCCCAAGAGUUCAUAUCGACGGCGGUGUUUGGCACCUCGAUGUCGGCUCAUCACAUCCUGGGGCUGAAGUAGGUCCCAAGGGUAUGGCUGUUCGCCAUUUAAAGUGGUACGCGAGCUGGGUUUAGAACGUCGUGAGACAGUUCGGUCCCUAUCUGCCGUGGGCGCUGGAGAACUGAGGGGGGCUGCUCCUAGUACGAGAGGACCGGAGUGGACGCAUCACUGGUGUUCGGGUUGUCAUGCCAAUGGCACUGCCCGGUAGCUAAAUGCGGAAGAGAUAAGUGCUGAAAGCAUCUAAGCACGAAACUUGCCCCGAGAUGAGUUCUCCCUGACUCCUUGAGAGUCCUGAAGGAACGUUGAAGACGACGACGUUGAUAGGCCGGGUGUGUAAGCGCAGCGAUGCGUUGAGCUAACCGGUACUAAUGAACCGUGAGGCUUAACCUUACAACGCCGAAG
Molecule: ribosomal RNA, 2616 nt
Filed under: Escherichia coli
Lineage: Bacteria; Pseudomonadati; Pseudomonadota; Gammaproteobacteria; Enterobacterales; Enterobacteriaceae
Description: partial 23S ribosomal RNA
Rfam family: Bacterial large subunit ribosomal RNA
Source: RNAcentral